GGAGAGGUGGCCGAGCGGUCGAAGGCGCGCCCCUGCUAAGGGCGUAUACCCUAACCGGUAUCGUGGGUUCGAAUCCCAUCCUCUUCGCCA
This 90-nucleotide transfer RNA is filed under the name Alphaproteobacteria bacterium. Its description in RNAcentral is "tRNA-Ser". It matches the Rfam family "tRNA". From Rfam's summary of the family: Transfer RNA (tRNA) molecules are approximately 80 nucleotides in length. Their secondary structure includes four short double-helical elements and three loops (D, anti-codon, and T loops). Further hydrogen bonds mediate the characteristic L-shaped molecular structure. tRNAs have two regions of fundamental functional importance: the anti-codon, which is responsible for specific mRNA codon recognition, and the 3' end, to which the tRNAs corresponding amino acid is attached (by aminoacyl-tRNA synthetases). tRNAs cope with the degeneracy of the genetic code in two manners: having more than one tRNA (with a specific anti-codon) for a particular amino acid; and 'wobble' base-pairing, i.e. permitting non-standard base-pairing at the 3rd anti-codon position. Lineage: Bacteria; Pseudomonadati; Pseudomonadota; Alphaproteobacteria. The record is from RNAcentral.